Molecule: ribosomal RNA, 467 nt
Filed under: uncultured bacterium
Lineage: Bacteria
Description: partial 16S ribosomal RNA
Rfam family: Bacterial small subunit ribosomal RNA
Source: RNAcentral
GACGAACGCUGGCGGCGUGCUUAACACAUGCAAGUCGAACGGAAAGGCCUCUUUCGGGGGGUACUCGAGUGGCGAACGGGUGAGUAACACGUGAGUAACCUGCCCUUGACUUUGGGAUAACUUCAGGAAACUGGGGCUAAUACCGGAUAGGAGCUCCUGCUGCAUGGUGGGGGUUGGAAAGUUUCGGCGGUUGGGGAUGGACUCGCGGCUUAUCAGCUUGUUGGUGGGGUAGUGGCUUACCAAGGCUUUGACGGGUAGCCGGCCUGAGAGGGUGACCGGCCACAUUGGGACUGAGAUACGGCCCAGACUGCGACGGGAGGCAGCAGUGGGGAAUAUUGCACAAGGGGUGGAAGCCUGAUGCAGCAACGCCGUGUGCGGGAUGACGGCCUUAGGGUUGUAAAACGAUUUCGCUCAUGACGAAGCUUUGUGUGACGGUAGUGGGUAAAGAAGCACCGGCUAACUACGUG